AGUCAGAGGCGAUGAAGGACGUGCUAAUCUGCGAUAAGCGUCGGUAAGGUGAUAUGAACCGUUAUAACCGGCGAUUUCCGAAUGGGGAAACCCAGUGUGUUUCGACACACUAUCAUUAACUGAAUCCAUAGGUUAAUGAGGCGAACCGGGGGAACUGAAACAUCUAAGUACCCCGAGGAAAAGAAAUCAACCGAGAUUCCCCCAGUAGCGGCGAGCGAACGGGGAGCAGCCCAGAGCCUGAAUCAGUGUGUGUGUUAGUGGAAGCGUCUGGAAAGGCGCGCGAUACAGGGUGACAGCCCCGUACACAAAAAUGCACAUGCUGUGAGCUCGAUGAGUAGGGCGGGACACGUGGUAUCCUGUCUGAAUAUGGGGGGACCAUCCUCCAAGGCUAAAUACUCCUGACUGACCGAUAGUGAACCAGUACCGUGAGGGAAAGGCGAAAAGAACCCCGGCGAGGGGAGUGAAAAAGAACCUGAAACCGUGUACGUACAAGCAGUGGGAGCACGCUUAGGCGUGUGACUGCGUACCUUUUGUAUAAUGGGUCAGCGACUUAUAUUCUGUAGCAAGGUUAACCGAAUAGGGGAGCCGAAGGGAAACCGAGUCUUAACUGGGCGUUAAGUUGCAGGGUAUAGACCCGAAACCCGGUGAUCUAGCCAUGGGCAGGUUGAAGGUUGGGUAACACUAACUGGAGGACCGAACCGACUAAUGUUGAAAAAUUAGCGGAUGACUUGUGGCUGGGGGUGAAAGGCCAAUCAAACCGGGAGAUAGCUGGUUCUCCCCGAAAGCUAUUUAGGUAGCGCCUCGUGAAUUCAUCUCCGGGGGUAGAGCACUGUUUCGGCAAGGGGGUCAUCCCGACUUACCAACCCGAUGCAAACUGCGAAUACCGGAGAAUGUUAUCACGGGAGACACACGGCGGGUGCUAACGUCCGUCGUGAAGAGGGAAACAACCCAGACCGCCAGCUAAGGUCCCAAAGUCAUGGUUAAGUGGGAAACGAUGUGGGAAGGCCCAGACAGCCAGGAUGUUGGCUUAGAAGCAGCCAUCAUUUAAAGAAAGCGUAAUAGCUCACUGGUCGAGUCGGCCUGCGCGGAAGAUGUAACGGGGCUAAACCAUGCACCGAAGCUGCGGCAGCGACGCUGAUGCGUUGUUGGGUAGGGGAGCGUUCUGUAAGCCUGCGAAGGUGUGCUGUGAGGCAUGCUGGAGGUAUCAGAAGUGCGAAUGCUGACAUAAGUAACGAUAAAGCGGGUGAAAAGCCCGCUCGCCGGAAGACCAAGGGUUCCUGUCCAACGUUAAUCGGGGCAGGGUGAGUCGACCCCUAAGGCGAGGCCGAAAGGCGUAGUCGAUGGGAAACAGGUUAAUAUUCCUGUACUUGGUGUUACUGCGAAGGGGGGACGGAGAAGGCUAUGUUGGCCGGGCGACGGUUGUCCCGGUUUAAGCGUGUAGGCUGGUUUUCCAGGCAAAUCCGGAAAAUCAAGGCUGAGGCGUGAUGACGAGGCACUACGGUGCUGAAGCAACAAAUGCCCUGCUUCCAGGAAAAGCCUCUAAGCAUCAGGUAACAUCAAAUCGUACCCCAAACCGACACAGGUGGUCAGGUAGAGAAUACCAAGGCGCUUGAGAGAACUCGGGUGAAGGAACUAGGCAAAAUGGUGCCGUAACUUCGGGAGAAGGCACGCUGAUAUGUAGGUGAGGUCCCUCGCGGAUGGAGCUGAAAUCAGUCGAAGAUACCAGCUGGCUGCAACUGUUUAUUAAAAACACAGCACUGUGCAAACACGAAAGUGGACGUAUACGGUGUGACGCCUGCCCGGUGCCGGAAGGUUAAUUGAUGGGGUUAGCGCAAGCGAAGCUCUUGAUCGAAGCCCCGGUAAACGGCGGCCGUAACUAUAACGGUCCUAAGGUAGCGAAAUUCCUUGUCGGGUAAGUUCCGACCUGCACGAAUGGCGUAAUGAUGGCCAGGCUGUCUCCACCCGAGACUCAGUGAAAUUGAACUCGCUGUGAAGAUGCAGUGUACCCGCGGCAAGACGGAAAGACCCCGUGAACCUUUACUAUAGCUUGACACUGAACAUUGAGCCUUGAUGUGUAGGAUAGGUGGGAGGCUUUGAAGUGUGGACGCCAGUCUGCAUGGAGCCGACCUUGAAAUACCACCCUUUAAUGUUUGAUGUUCUAACGUUGACCCGUAAUCCGGGUUGCGGACAGUGUCUGGUGGGUAGUUUGACUGGGGCGGUCUCCUCCUAAAGAGUAACGGAGGAGCACGAAGGUUGGCUAAUCCUGGUCGGACAUCAGGAGGUUAGUGCAAUGGCAUAAGCCAGCUUGACUGCGAGCGUGACGGCGCGAGCAGGUGCGAAAGCAGGUCAUAGUGAUCCGGUGGUUCUGAAUGGAAGGGCCAUCGCUCAACGGAUAAAAGGUACUCCGGGGAUAACAGGCUGAUACCGCCCAAGAGUUCAUAUCGACGGCGGUGUUUGGCACCUCGAUGUCGGCUCAUCACAUCCUGGGGCUGAAGUAGGUCCCAAGGGUAUGGCUGUUCGCCAUUUAAAGUGGUACGCGAGCUGGGUUUAGAACGUCGUGAGACAGUUCGGUCCCUAUCUGCCGUGGGCGCUGGAGAACUGAGGGGGGCUGCUCCUAGUACGAGAGGACCGGAGUGGACGCAUCACUGGUGUUGGGUUGUCAUGCCAAUGGCACUGCCCGGUAGCUAAAUGCGGAAGAGAUAAGUGCUGAAAGCAUCUAAGCACGAAACUUGCCCCGAGAUGAGUUCUCCCUGACCCUUUAAGGGUCCUGAAGGAACGUUGAAGACGACGACGUUGAUAGGCCGGGUGUGUAAGCGCAGCGAUGCGUUGAGCUAACCGGUACUAAUGAACCGUGAGGCUUAACCUU
This 2866-nucleotide ribosomal RNA is filed under the name Escherichia coli 2-011-08_S3_C3. Its description in RNAcentral is "bacterial LSU rRNA". It matches the Rfam family "Bacterial large subunit ribosomal RNA". The record is from RNAcentral. Lineage: Bacteria; Pseudomonadati; Pseudomonadota; Gammaproteobacteria; Enterobacterales; Enterobacteriaceae.